CGUGUAGGCGGCCAGGUAGGUCCGUCGUGAAAACUCGAGGCUUAACCUCGAGACGCCGGCGGAAACCAUCUGGCUAGAGUCCGGAAGAGGAGAGUGGAAUUCCCGGUGUAGCGGUGAAAUGCGCAGAUAUCGGGAAGAACACCCGUGGCGAAGGCGGCUCUCUGGGACGGUACUGACGCUGAGACGCGAAAGCGUGGGGAGCGAACA
Molecule: ribosomal RNA, 207 nt
Filed under: uncultured bacterium
Lineage: Bacteria
Description: partial 16S ribosomal RNA
Rfam family: Bacterial small subunit ribosomal RNA
Source: RNAcentral